AUGAACGCUAGCUACAGGCUUAACACAUGCAAGUCGAGGGGCAGCAUGGUCUUAGCUUGCUAAGACUGAUGGCGACCGGCGCACGGGUGAGUAACACGUAUCCAACCUGCCGUCUACUCUUGGACAGCCUUCUGAAAGGAAGAUUAAUACAAGAUGGCAUCAUGAGUCCGCAUGUUCACAUGAUUAAAGGUAUUCCGGUAGACGAUGGGGAUGCGUUCCAUUAGAUAGUAGGCGGGGUAACGGCCCACCUAGUCUUCGAUGGAUAGGGGUUCUGAGAGGAAGGUCCCCCACAUUGGAACUGAGACACGGUCCAAACUCCUACGGGAGGCAGCAGUGAGGAAUAUUGGUCAAUGGGCGAGAGCCUGAACCAGCCAAGUAGCGUGAAGGAUGACUGCCCUAUGGGUUGUAAACUUCUUUUAUAAAGGAAUAAAGUCGGGUAUGCAUACCCGUUUGCAUGUACUUUAUGAAUAAGGAUCGGCUAACUCCGUGCCAGCAGCCGCGGUAAUACGGAGGAUCCGAGCGUUAUCCGGAUUUAUUGGGUUUAAAGGGAGCGUAGAUGGAUGUUUAAGUCAGUUGUGAAAGUUUGCGGCUCAACCGUAAAAUUGCAGUUGAUACUGGAUAUCUUGAGUGCAGUUGAGGCAGGCGGAAUUCGUGGUGUAGCGGUGAAAUGCUUAGAUAUCACGAAGAACUCCGAUUGCGAAGGCAGCCUGCUAAGCUGCAACUGACAUUGAGGCUCGAAAGUGUGGGUAUCAAACAGGAUUAGAUACCCUGGUAGUCCACACGGUAAACGAUGAAUACUCGCUGUUUGCGAUAUACAGCAAGCGGCCAAGCGAAAGCGUUAAGUAUUCCACCUGGGGAGUACGCCGGCAACGGUGAAACUCAAAGGAAUUGACGGGGGCCCGCACAAGCGGAGGAACAUGUGGUUUAAUUCGAUGAUACGCGAGGAACCUUACCCGGGCUUAAAUUGCAGAUGAAUUACGGUGAAAGCCGUAAGCCGCAAGGCAUCUGUGAAGGUGCUGCAUGGUUGUCGUCAGCUCGUGCCGUGAGGUGUCGGCUUAAGUGCCAUAACGAGCGCAACCCUUGUUGUCAGUUACUAACAGGUUCCGCUGAGGACUCUGACAAGACUGCCAUCGUAAGAUGUGAGGAAGGUGGGGAUGACGUCAAAUCAGCACGGCCCUUACGUCCGGGGCUACACACGUGUUACAAUGGGGGGUACAGAGGGCCGCUACCACGCGAGUGGAUGCCAAUCCCCAAAACCUCUCUCAGUUCGGACUGGAGUCUGCAACCCGACUCCACGAAGCUGGAUUCGCUAGUAAUCGCGCAUCAGCCACGGCGCGGUGAAUACGUUCCCGGGCCUUGUACACACCGCCCGUCAAGCCAUGGGAGCCGGGGGUACCUGAAGUGCGUAACCGCGAGGAGCGCCCUAGGGUAAAACUGGUGACUGGGGCU
Molecule: ribosomal RNA, 1449 nt
Filed under: uncultured organism
Description: SSU rRNA
Rfam family: Bacterial small subunit ribosomal RNA
Source: RNAcentral